RNAcentral lists this ribosomal RNA (253 nucleotides) under uncultured bacterium. RNAcentral's name for it is "partial 16S ribosomal RNA". It matches the Rfam family "Bacterial small subunit ribosomal RNA", at positions 524 to 776 of the family's 1533-position model. The record is from RNAcentral.
UACGAAGGGGGCUAGCGUUGCUCGGAAUCACUGGGCGUAAAGGGUGCGUAGGCGGGUCUUUGAGGCAGGGGUGAAAUCCUGGAGCUCAACUCCAGAACUGCCUUUGAUACUGAAGAUCUUGAGUUCGGGAGAGGUGAGUGGAACUGCGAGUGUAGAGGUGAAAUUCGUAGAUAUUCGCAAGAACACCAGUGGCGAAGGCGGCUCACUGGUCCGGUACUGACGCUGAGGUGCGAAAGCGUGGGGAGCAAACAGG